AACGAACGCUGGCGGCGUGCCUAACACAUGCAAGUCGAGCGCGAAAGAGCAAUCUGAGUAGAGCGGCGCACGGGUGCGUAACACGUGGGUAAUCUGCCUCAAGGUCUGGGAUAACCUUCCGAAAGGUUGGCUAAUACCAGUUAAGCUCACGGUGACUUCGGUCGGCUGAGAGAAAAGGGGGCCCCGAAAGGGUCUCGGCCCAUGAGGUGAGCCCGCGGCCCAUCAGCUAGUUGGCGGGGUAACGGCCCACCAAGGCUACGACGGGUAGCUGGUCUGAGAGGACGAUCAGCCACACUGGAACUGAGACACGGUCCAGACUCCUACGGGAGGCAGCAGUGGGGAAUUUUAGCACAAUGGGCGAAAGCCUGAUGCAGCAACGCCGCGUGUGUGAUGAAGGUCUUCGGAUCGUAAAGCACUUUCGACCGGGACGAACGAAGGC
Molecule: ribosomal RNA, 439 nt
Filed under: uncultured bacterium
Lineage: Bacteria
Description: bacterial SSU rRNA
Rfam family: Bacterial small subunit ribosomal RNA
Source: RNAcentral